This 495-nucleotide ribosomal RNA is filed under the name uncultured bacterium. RNAcentral describes it as "partial 16S ribosomal RNA". It matches the Rfam family "Bacterial small subunit ribosomal RNA", at positions 28 to 523 of the family's 1533-position model. The record is from RNAcentral.
GAUGAACGCUAGCGGCGGGCUUAACACAUGCAAGUCGAGGGGUAGAGGAAGCUUGCUUCCUUGAGACCGGCGCACGGGUGCGUAACGCGUAUACAAUCUACCUUUUACAGAGGGAUAGCCCAGAGAAAUUUGGAUUAAUACCUCAUAGUAUCUUCGAGACGCAUGGUUUGAUUAUUAAAGUUCCAACGGUAAAAGAUGAGUAUGCGUACCAUUAGCUAGAAGGUAAGGUAACGGCUUAACAAGGCAACGAUGGGUAGGGGUCCUGAGAGGGACAUACCCCACACUGGUACUGAGACAAGGACCAGACUCGUACGGGAAGCAGCAGUGAGGAAUAUUGGACAAUGGGCGCAACCCUGAUCCAGCCAUGCCGCGUGCAGGAAGACGGUCCUAUGGAUUGUAAUUGCUUUUAUACAGGAAGAAACACUCCCUCGUGAGGGAAAUUGACGGUACUGUAUGAAUAAGCAUCGGCUAACUCCGUGCCAGCCGCCGCGGUAA